UGCCCAGCAACUCCUAUCCCUACCUCCUCGUGGUACUGGCCGGGGUACGAGUAACCUUAGAGAAGAUCGGGUAACCAACCCCCGGUGGGAACUUUGGUCGUAUGCUGACAGGGAAGG
This 117-nucleotide ribozyme is filed under the name Aedes aegypti (yellow fever mosquito). RNAcentral describes it as "drz-agam-1 ribozyme". It matches the Rfam family "drz-agam-1 ribozyme". Lineage: Eukaryota; Metazoa; Arthropoda; Insecta; Diptera; Culicidae. The record is from Rfam by way of RNAcentral.